This 234-nucleotide long non-coding RNA is filed under the name Ananas comosus (pineapple). RNAcentral describes it as "long non-coding RNA (ACOM_LNC028904)". Lineage: Eukaryota; Viridiplantae; Streptophyta; Magnoliopsida; Poales; Bromeliaceae. The record is from RNAcentral.
CUGGUACCGGUGGUAUCAAGUACUGGUCACCCUCUUUUAAAUGAUGUAUCAUUACCGUCCAUUUAAAAAAAUUUAAUGGUUAAGAUUUGUUUGGAGUAUAGAAGCAUUGCUCAAAAAAUAUUGGCAUCUAUAAUUUGAUUGAAUAAUAUAUUUUAUUCAUGAGAUGAUUUAUUAUCUUAUUCCAAGAGAGUGGCUUGAUGGCCGAAUAUGGUAUGGCAUGUUAAACAUUUAAUC